RNAcentral lists this ribosomal RNA (395 nucleotides) under uncultured bacterium. Its description in RNAcentral is "bacterial SSU rRNA". It matches the Rfam family "Bacterial small subunit ribosomal RNA", at positions 505 to 898 of the family's 1533-position model. The record is from RNAcentral.
GUGUCAGCAGCCGCGGUAAUACGGAAGGUGCAAGCGUUGUUCGGAAUGACUGGGCGUAAAGCGCACGUAGGCGGGUUCGCAAGUCGGAUGUGAAAGCCCUGGGCUCAACCUAGGAACUGCACCCGAAACUACGAAUCUUGAAUGCCUGAGAGGUUGGCGGAAUUCCUGGUGUAGGAGUGAAAUCCGUAGAUAUCAGGAGGAACAUCGGAGGCGAAGGCGGCCAACUGGUGGUGCAUUGACGCUAAGGUGCGAAAGCGUGGGGAGCAAACAGGAUUAGAUACCCUGGUAGUCCACGCCGUAAACUAUGGAUACUAGGUGUUCGGGAAGUUAACCUCCUGAGUACUAAAGCUAACGCAUUAAGUAUCCCGCCUGGGGAGUACGGUCGCAAGGCUAAA